Molecule: ribosomal RNA, 469 nt
Filed under: uncultured bacterium
Lineage: Bacteria
Description: partial 16S ribosomal RNA
Rfam family: Bacterial small subunit ribosomal RNA
Source: RNAcentral
GAUGAACGCUGGCGGCGCGCCUAACACAUGCAAGUCGAACGGUUAAAGCACCUUUUAGGUGUGUAUAAAGUGGCGAACGGCUGAGUAACACGUGGGCAACCUGCCCUCCUCUUGGGGAUAGCCUCGGGAAACCGAGGAUAAUACCCGAUACUUCAAUGUGGCCGCAUGACGACAUUGAGAAAGCUUUUGCGGAGAAGGAUGGGCCCGCGGCCUGUUAGCUUGUUGGUGGGGUAGAGGCCUACCAAGGCAAUGAUGGGUAGCUGGGUUGAGAGACCGACCAGCCAGAUUGGGACUGAGACACGGCCCAGACUCCUACGGGAGGCAGCAGGGGGGAAGCUUGCACAAUGGGCGAAAGCCUGAUGCAGCGACGCCGCGUGCGGGACGAAGGCCUUCGGGUUGUAAACCGCUUUCAGCAGGGACGAGGCGAUAAGUGACGGUACCUGCAGAAGAAGCCCCGGCUAACUACGUG